GAUCCUGCUCAGGAUGAACGCUAGCGACAGGCCUAACACAUGCAAGUCGAGGGGCAGCGAAGAGGUAGCAAUACCUUUGCCGGCGACCGGCGCACGGGUGAGUAACACGUAUGCAAUCCACCUGUAACAGGGGGGAUAACCCGGAGAAAUCCGGACUAAUACCCCAUAAUAUGGGCGCUCCGCAUGGAGAGCCCAUUAAAGAGAGCAAUUUUGGUUACAGACGAGCAUGCGCUCCA
RNAcentral lists this ribosomal RNA (236 nucleotides) under uncultured bacterium. RNAcentral's name for it is "partial 16S ribosomal RNA". It matches the Rfam family "Bacterial small subunit ribosomal RNA", at positions 15 to 240 of the family's 1533-position model. The record is from RNAcentral.